Molecule: small nucleolar RNA, 129 nt
Organism: Meriones unguiculatus (Mongolian gerbil)
Lineage: Eukaryota; Metazoa; Chordata; Mammalia; Rodentia; Muridae
Source: Ensembl
CCUGCCCCUAGAGGCGUUGCGGGUGGGGCUGCUGUGUCUCAUGCGCGUCAACAGAUGGCAGAGGGGACAGCGGCCAUGUCUACACUCAGUCUUCUCACCUGAGAGCAUCUCAAUUAGCAGCCUAACACU